CCCAGACUCCUACGGGAGGCAGCAGUGGGGAAUAUUGCACAAUGGGGGAAACCCUGAUGCAGCGACGCCGCGUGAGUGAAGAAGUAUUUCGGUAUGUAAAGCUCUAUCAGCAGGGAAGAAAAUGACGGUACCUGACUAAGAAGCUCCGGCUAAAUACGUGCCAGCAGCCGCGGUAAUACGUAUGGAGCAAGCGUUAUCCGGAAUUACUGGGUGUAAAGGGAGCGUAGACGGAUGUGCAAGUCUGAUGUGAAAGGCGGGGGCUCAACCCCUGGACUGCAUUGGAAACUGUAAAUCUUGAGUGCCGGAGAGGUAAGCGGAAUUCCUAGUGUAGCGGUGAAAUGCGUAGAUAUUAGGAGGAACACCAGUGGCGAAGGCGGCUUACUGGACGGUAACUGACGUUGAGGCUCGAAAGCGUGGGGAGCAAACAGGAUUAGAUACCCGAGUA
This 445-nucleotide ribosomal RNA is filed under the name uncultured bacterium. RNAcentral describes it as "bacterial SSU rRNA". It matches the Rfam family "Bacterial small subunit ribosomal RNA", at positions 330 to 792 of the family's 1533-position model. The record is from RNAcentral.